Onychomys torridus (southern grasshopper mouse) is the source of this 1082-nucleotide long non-coding RNA. RefSeq lists it as uncharacterized. The record is from RefSeq and is a predicted model, not a curated record. Lineage: Eukaryota; Metazoa; Chordata; Mammalia; Rodentia; Cricetidae. The transcript has 3 exons.
UAUGUUGUAGAUGAUGCUGAUUAAUUGUCCCCAGUGAUUUGUCUUUCUCCCAUAAGGCAAACAACCACCAACACCAACCAUGGCUGUUGGCAUCUUCCACGGUUUAUCUCUGUGCUAUGGAAAUGACAUUUUCCAGCGAUAAGCUGCUCCUUUAGCCUGGUUCACGGGAAUACAAAUCUCUGUGAGUUGUUCAUCUAAAGAUAUGUGAUACCACACUGCCUUCUAAACAUUUGUGUUUAUACCCAGUGGGCACAUGCUAUAUCCAGCCUUAAUCAGGAAGCCUCCCUUUGCAAUGAACUAUGCUAAAUGCAGACUCAUGGCUGUUUGAGAAGGUGAUGGUUGAGUGCUUGUCUCUAAAUAGUACACCUAUACCACCCUCUCUAAGGCUCAGGGACUAUCGCCGAGGAUGGAGCUGAAAGAAUGUAAGAGCCAGAAGCCAGGGAGGAGGACUGAGAAAACCCGUGUUCUGGGCAUUACACAGCCAUCGUAGACAUGAUCUCACAGCUGAAGACUGGGCCUGCGAUCAGUCAAGCAUGAAUCACAGAGAGACUGAUGUGACCACACACAUCCUCACCCCCACCCCCCCCCCCACUGAAUUAUUGGCUACUGAUGGAUUCUGGAGGAAAAACAUCUAGUUUCUUCAUUUGUGUAUUCACAGGUUUCUGAAAGAAAGCUGGAGCCAACAUUCUGAAUUGAAGUAGUCAGUGAAGCAUUAAGUUGGGGAGGAGAAUGAAGCCAAUCCGGAUACACUAAUUGGCAAAGAGGAUCGGUUACAAUGUGAAAAAGGAAGAGACUGGAAGGGGAUUCCAGCAAAGGAAGACACAUGAGCCUGAGAUGCUGUGCACUUCCUCAAAGGGUGUCUUCUCUACUCAAGGAUAUUGUGUGACAUAGGAUGGAUGGGAUAAUACAGAAGCUGGACAUGGACUUUGCUCCAAAGAAGAAGGAAAAUGGUUGUAGAUUCCUUUCCAAUGGCCAUUGUACCCACAGAUAAGUUUAGUCUUUACCCCUCAUCAAGGAAACCUCCUUGCAACAGAUAGAGUCUACUAUAGAAAACCACAACCAAUAAAAAUGCACUGUUGAGG